Prionailurus viverrinus (fishing cat) is the source of this 800-nucleotide long non-coding RNA. RefSeq lists it as uncharacterized. The transcript is spliced from 2 exons. NCBI's taxonomy places the organism in Eukaryota, Metazoa, Chordata, Mammalia, Carnivora, Felidae. The record is from RefSeq and is a predicted model, not a curated record.
UUAACCGACUGAACCAUCCAGGCUUCCCUUUAUUACUGAUUUCUAAGUCUAAGAUCAUAAUGUUCAGAGAUAAUAUUUCAUCUGAACUUAAUCCAAAUUAGUGAGACCUUUUUACAGCCCAGAAAAUAAUCUCUUUUGGUAAAUAGUCCAUGUACACUUACAAAGGGUGUUAAUUCUGCCAUUAUUGGGUGGAGUAUUUUAUGAAAGGCCAAGUAGGUCAAGCUGGCUGUGAGUCGUUCAAGCCUUCUCUGUCCAGCUCAACUUUCUGCCUGGUUGUUCUAUCAAUCGCUGAGAGGGGAGUUGCCGAAAUCCCACCUACUUACAGAUUUGUCCCGUUCAUCUUUCGGUUCUACCAGUUUUGGCCUCACGUAUCAGAAGCUUUGCUGUGGUGCGUUUCCACUCAAGAUACUCUGAAUUGAUUCAGGCAAGAUCCCUGACCUCAGAGGGUACAGAAGAGAAGCUGGCUUGGAAGAAGUGGGACUUGAGUGGGAGCCUUGAAAGACAAUAGCUGAAGGACAUAUUCUGUAGGAUGAAGAAUGAACUUGACACAUGCACAAGCAAAUGGAUUCUGUGCUUAUCUGGAAAACUCAAAACCUUCGUGUCUUCUAUAUGAUCCUUGUCGAUCAAAAAAUAAAGGUGCUUCUUUGUUUUGUUGCCCCUCCUACUAAAACCGCAGAUACUUAAUAAAUCUGGGGUGGGGAGGAGAGACUAAAUGACAGAAAUAACUAUUCCUUCACAAUCUUUGGUAUGUUUCUAAUUUGUUUCCACAUACGAGAAAUAAACAUUAAAUUUUAUAUCCA